This 492-nucleotide ribosomal RNA is filed under the name uncultured bacterium. Its description in RNAcentral is "partial 16S ribosomal RNA". It matches the Rfam family "Bacterial small subunit ribosomal RNA", at positions 29 to 507 of the family's 1533-position model. The record is from RNAcentral.
AUUGAACGCUGGCGGCAUGCUUUACACAUGCAAGUCGAACGGUAACAGGCCUUUGGGUGCUGACGAGUGGCGCACGGGGGAGUAAUGUACCGGAACGUACCCAGGGGAGGGGGAGAACGCGUCGGAAGCUGGGCGAAUACCGCACGUGAGCUGAGGAGGAGAGCGGGGGACCGAGCAGCAACGCUUGGCCUCGCGCCUUUGGAGCUCGCAAUGUCGGAUUAGCUAGUUGGUGGGGUAAAGGCCUACCAAGGCGACGAUCCGUAGCUGGUCUGAGAGGACGACCAGCCACACUGGAACUGAGACACGGCCCAGACUCCUACGGGAGGCAGCAGUGGGGAAUAUUGGACAAUGGGCGCAAGCCUGAUCCAGCAAUGCCGCGUGUGGGAAGAAGGCCUUCGGGUUGUAAACCGCUUUUGGCAGGAAGGAAGCGGUGUCCGUUAAUACCGGGCGCUAUUGACGUUACCUGCAGAAUAAGCACCGGCUAACUACGUG